AUUGAACGCUGGCGGCAUGCCUUACACAUGCAAGUCGAACGGUAACAGGUCUUCGGAUGCUGACGAGUGGCGAACGGGUGAGUAAUACAUCGGAACGUGCCUAGUAGUGGGGGAUAACUACUCGAAAGAGUGGCUAAUACCGCAUGAGAUCUACGGAUGAAAGCAGGGGAUCGCAAGACCUUGUGCUACUAGAGCGGCCGAUGGCGGAUUAGGUAGUUGGUGGGAUAAAAGCUUACCGAGCCGACGAUCUGUAGCUGGUCUGAGAGGACGAUCAGCCACACUGGGACUGAGACACGGCCCAGACUCCUGCGGGAGGCAGCAGUGGGGAAUUUUGGACAAUGGGCGAAAGCCUGAUCCAGCAAUGCCGCGUGCAGGAUGAAGGCCUUCGGGUUGUAAACUGCUUUUGUACGGAACGAAAAGCCCCGGGUUAAUACCCUGGGGUCAUGACGGUACCGUAAGAAUAAGCACCGGCUAACUACGUGCCAGCCGCCGCAGUAA
RNAcentral lists this ribosomal RNA (498 nucleotides) under uncultured bacterium. RNAcentral's name for it is "partial 16S ribosomal RNA". It matches the Rfam family "Bacterial small subunit ribosomal RNA", at positions 30 to 523 of the family's 1533-position model. The record is from RNAcentral.